This 62-nucleotide transfer RNA is filed under the name Placobdella parasitica. Its description in RNAcentral is "transfer RNA Arginine". Lineage: Eukaryota; Metazoa; Annelida; Clitellata; Rhynchobdellida; Glossiphoniidae. The record is from RNAcentral.
UAGGAAGUAGCAUAAAAUGCAUUUUGAUUUCGACUCGAAAAGGGGUAUUAACCACUUCCUAA